UCGGGAAUAUUGCGCAAUGGGCGAAAGCCUGACGCAGCAACGCCGCGUGAGUGAUGAAGGCCUUCGGGUCGUAAAGCUCUGUCGGAGGGAACGAAUGCUCUUGAGGUUAACAGCCUCAGGAAAUGACGGUACCCUCAAAGGAAGCACCGGCUAACUCUGUGCCAGCAGCCGCGGUAAUACGUAGGGUGCAGGCGUUAAUCGGAAUUACUGGGCGUAAAGCGUGCGCAGGCGGUUUGUUAAGACAGAUGUGAAAUCCCCGGGCUUAACCUGGGAACUGCGUUUGUAACUGGCAGACUGGAGUGUGGCAGAGGGGGGUGGAAUUCCAAGUGUAGCAGUGAAAUGCGUAGAUAUUUGGAGGAACACCGAUGGCGAAGGCAGCCCCCUGGGCUAACACUGACGCUCAUGCACGAAAGCGUGGGGAGCAAACAGGAUUAGAUACCCCAGUAGUCCCUGAG
RNAcentral lists this ribosomal RNA (455 nucleotides) under uncultured bacterium. RNAcentral's name for it is "bacterial SSU rRNA". It matches the Rfam family "Bacterial small subunit ribosomal RNA", at positions 355 to 801 of the family's 1533-position model. The record is from RNAcentral.